Molecule: long non-coding RNA, 204 nt
Organism: Empidonax traillii (willow flycatcher)
Lineage: Eukaryota; Metazoa; Chordata; Aves; Passeriformes; Tyrannidae
Exons: 3
Source: RefSeq, a predicted model, not a curated record
CAGGGAGAGGGAACGUCGGGAGAAGGAGAGGGAGGAGUGGGAGCGGCAGUACAGCCGCCAGAGCCGCUCCCCCUCCCCACCCCCACGGCACGGUCGGGAAUACAGCUCUUCCCGAAGGCAUUCCCGGUCCCGCUCCCGGAGCCCCCACUACCGGCACUGAGGGGGCCCCUCUGGAAUCCAAUAAACCCCCCAAAUCCCAUGGAA